Long non-coding RNA from Nerophis ophidion (straightnose pipefish), 494 nucleotides. RefSeq lists it as uncharacterized. The record is from RefSeq and is a predicted model, not a curated record. NCBI's taxonomy places the organism in Eukaryota, Metazoa, Chordata, Actinopteri, Syngnathiformes, Syngnathidae. The transcript is spliced from 4 exons.
UCUGCCGUCACUCGAAUGCUGAUUGAUAAAAUCUUCUUGAAUUCCCGUUUUAGAUGAAGAAUGACUCAUAAACCUCACAAAGAGAAAGGAAGUGUGGCCUUUUCCAGAUCUAGAUUGGCUGUCCAAGUGUACCAGCUUGUUGGAGUACGUCCUCAUCCUUCUACUAUCCAGCUCCGUAGCAUGUCAAGUGAUGCUGGACCUAAAAAAGGAGGGGACCUAAUACAGACCCAUAAACUGGCGCCACCUACUGGAUCUGGCCGGGCACUGCACCACUUGCCCCGACUCAGGAACCUACCUACACACUUUUUGGACCUGUCUUCAUAAAGUUAUGUCUCAGAGACACGACUCCUACCUUUCAGCUUUUCCGUCUCAGUGCGUGCACACAUGAGAAGGACAAAGUCACACCAGUGGGAGUGGACCUGCUGGCCUGGAGGACCAGGAGCUCCUUGAUCCCUCAGCUAGCGUUUCAGCGCCCUGCAACACAAGCUGCACAC